Lactuca sativa (garden lettuce) is the source of this 503-nucleotide non-coding RNA. The record is from RefSeq and is a predicted model, not a curated record. Lineage: Eukaryota; Viridiplantae; Streptophyta; Magnoliopsida; Asterales; Asteraceae.
GCCGACACCCUUUGCCAACAAUUAUGAUGUCACAACCCAGAGAAGGGUUCACGGAAAGGAAGACGACAAUUGUUGAAGGAGGCGGAAUCCGACGAAACAAAGAGGCGGCAUCCGACUCUAUAUACUCGAUGAACCCUAAUUAGUGAUUUCUUAUUCUCUUUAUCUUUAAAUGCUAGAUUUGGAUGUACUCGAUUAUAAUGUAUUGCUGGAAAUCAUCGCCGCCUAACAUCAUUAUCAACCACUGUUACUCGAUCUAUAGUUGCAGAAUUUGCAGUUAAAUACAUUGAGCAUAUCGAGAAGAAACACAGGGAACCCGAAGAAUGUUAGUUCCUUAUUCUGUCAGAAUAGGUUUUACAAGUGUAUCACUACAAAUUACUUGGCAAUGAAUUUUUGGUAGAAAUGGCUUCAAGAAUGGCUUGAAGACCUGAUGGGAAAGGGUUGAAGAAUGAAUCAAAGAAUGAUCACACUCAUUUUUUAAGAAUGUUGUUAUUUUUUAAGAAUUA